Rhodamnia argentea is the source of this 685-nucleotide long non-coding RNA. RefSeq lists it as uncharacterized. Lineage: Eukaryota; Viridiplantae; Streptophyta; Magnoliopsida; Myrtales; Myrtaceae. The record is from RefSeq and is a predicted model, not a curated record. The transcript is spliced from 2 exons.
UAAUAUCAUUUCUCACCCUUUCACUUGGUACUGUCAAUCGUUCUCUCUAUGUUUUUGGGUGAUUAAAUGCAACAAAUGAAGCAAAAAUUGGUCCAUUAUCCCAAGAUUUGGCUCUUCAAGUAGGAGUCUAGUCUAGCAUUAAGGGACUCAAAAGUGUAACUAUAGGAUUAGCAACUUAUAAAAUCACCAUUUGUAGUUUUUACUAUCCAUCAGCAGCAAUGUAAAAUAAGCUCUGCUAAUUGAAGGAGGAAAUAAAAUGUUCAGAGGGCAUUGAAAGAUAGUGAAUAAGCCAGUCUACGACUGAUUAGACAAGAGUAACCUACCUAUGUGGCUUUGCAGUAAAACCAAGACUCUUUCUGAGCCCAUGUGCUGAAAAUGAUGGGCGUUUAAGCCCCCAUGUUUCCUCAGCUGUUGACAGAUGAGCUUCUCUAAACUGGGAAAAGAUGCAAACCUUGAAUAGUGCAUGAAAGCUGCAUAAUCAGCUUACACAACACAUCUUUGUCAUGGGGAUAGCUAGAUCAUUCCUGGAAGAGCAACACUGGAACUCCAUCCACGAUCCCCAAUUGUUAGUGGCUUGAUUGAUCCUAUGCUUGCACACGCAAGUGAAAUCUGAAUUUAUGGCAACGAAUGUUAGCUCGUUUGGCUAGACAUAAGCAUCAUGCCAAUCUACUAAGCUUUUGAAAUC